UGGACAAAUUAUUGUAUUCGACUGUAUUCACGACGUGAAAUAGGGGAUUACACUGUUUUUAAAACGGAAAGUGAAUCAAUUAACAUAAUAGACUCCU
Nicotiana sylvestris (wood tobacco) is the source of this 97-nucleotide non-coding RNA. NCBI's taxonomy places the organism in Eukaryota, Viridiplantae, Streptophyta, Magnoliopsida, Solanales, Solanaceae. The record is from Rfam.